RNAcentral lists this ribosomal RNA (405 nucleotides) under uncultured rumen bacterium. Its description in RNAcentral is "bacterial SSU rRNA". It matches the Rfam family "Bacterial small subunit ribosomal RNA", at positions 354 to 776 of the family's 1533-position model. The record is from RNAcentral.
GUGGGGAAUAUUGCACAAUGGGGGAAACCCUGAUGCAGCGACGCCGCGUGAGUGAAGAAGUAUUUCGGUAUGUAAAGCUCUAUCAGCAGGGAAGAAAAUGACGGUACCUGAGUAAGAAGCCCCGGCUAACUACGUGCCAGCAGCCGCGGUAAUACGUAGGGGGCAAGCGUUAUCCGGAUUUACUGGGUGUAAAGGGAGCGUAGACGGCGAGGCAAGUCUGAAGUGAAAACCCGAGGCUUAACCACGGGACUGCUUUGGAAACUGUCAUGCUAGAGUGCAGGAGGGGUGAGUGGAAUUCCUAGUGUAGCGGUGAAAUGCAUAGAUAUUAGGAGGAACACCGGUGGCGAAGGCGGCUCACUGGACUGUAACUGACGUUGAGGCUCGAAAGCGUGGGGAGCAAACAGG